AUUGAACGCUGGCGGCAUGCCUUACACAUGCAAGUCGAACGGUAACGCGGGGCAACCUGGCGACGAGUGGCGAACGGGUGAGUAAUAUAUCGGAACGUGCCCAGUAGUGGGGGAUAGCCCGGCGAAAGCCGGAUUAAUACCGCAUGAGACCUGAGGGUGAAAGCGGGGGAUCGCAAGACCUCGCGCUAUUGGAGCGGCCGAUAUCAGAUUAGGUAGUUGGUGGGGUAAAGGCCUACCAAGCCGACGAUCUGUAGCUGGUCUGAGGGGACGACCAGCCACACUGGGACUGAGACACGGCCCAGACUCCUACGGGAGGCAGCAGUGGGGAAUUUUGGACAAUGGGGGCAACCCUGAUCCAGCCAUGCCGCGUGCGGGAAGAGGGCCU
This 385-nucleotide ribosomal RNA is filed under the name uncultured bacterium. RNAcentral's name for it is "bacterial SSU rRNA". It matches the Rfam family "Bacterial small subunit ribosomal RNA", at positions 29 to 417 of the family's 1533-position model. The record is from RNAcentral.